GGAGGUAUGGCUCAAGUGGUAGAGUGUCAGGCUUGAGUGAAAAGGCCACAUGAUAGAAUGAGGCCCUGAAUUUGAGGCCCUGAGUUCAAGUCCCAGUACUGGCA
RNAcentral lists this transfer RNA (104 nucleotides) under Dipodomys ordii (Ord's kangaroo rat). It matches the Rfam family "tRNA". Rfam says of the family: Transfer RNA (tRNA) molecules are approximately 80 nucleotides in length. Their secondary structure includes four short double-helical elements and three loops (D, anti-codon, and T loops). Further hydrogen bonds mediate the characteristic L-shaped molecular structure. tRNAs have two regions of fundamental functional importance: the anti-codon, which is responsible for specific mRNA codon recognition, and the 3' end, to which the tRNAs corresponding amino acid is attached (by aminoacyl-tRNA synthetases). tRNAs cope with the degeneracy of the genetic code in two manners: having more than one tRNA (with a specific anti-codon) for a particular amino acid; and 'wobble' base-pairing, i.e. permitting non-standard base-pairing at the 3rd anti-codon position. The record is from Rfam by way of RNAcentral. Lineage: Eukaryota; Metazoa; Chordata; Mammalia; Rodentia; Heteromyidae.